UGAUUAUCGUUUUUGACAUAUCACCUGAUUCUUGUAAUGUUUAUGUUCUCUUACACAUCUCGUGUUCUAGUGAUCGUGCAGGCUUGGUAUUGCAGGUGUUUAGAAGUGUAAUUAAAUUAAGUUUUGAGUUAAUAUUAAUUAUUAUUUAUUGUCAAACAUGUGCUGGUAAAUUUCUCUGUAGUUCAAUAACUAAAUUAAGUUUUGAGUUUAUAUUUAUGCUUAUUUAUUGUCAAAUAUGUGCCGGUAAAUUUCUCUGUUGUUCAAUAAAUUCCAAUAAAAACAAAGUGUAGUGAGUAAAGUGAGAUAAGUUUGUUGUGCAAGUCGUUGCCUGUAGAUUCCUGUUGAUUGUCAGGUGUUUUUGUUAAAUGCACUCGCGAUUGCGGCGCAGUGCAUAUGUCUAACUGUAAUAUACAUACAUACAUAUGUAUGCACAUUCAAGCACUUACGAUGUGCUGGGCAUUGUGGGAGCUCGAGCAAAAGCAUGGUUUUAAAAAUUAAUUGGCCUGUGUCGAAUGCCGGAACUUCCUAAUGCCAAAUCAUGAACUGGACUUAAAAGCUGAAGCUAUACAUCUAUUACAUAUACGAGGUGUAUGAAAAGGAAAAGAACUUCCUUUUGCGGAAAGUCUUACGUAAAUUUUCGCAUCCAUUACCGCAACGAAAGUAAAAGUUUUCACGUCAAUCACGACAAGCAGAAGUAGCGGCUACACGCAUGUUGUAUUUAAAACAAAAAUGCGUUUGUAAAUGACAUGGCAAAAAGAAAGAGGAAGCAGCAUAAAAAAAAGUACGAAAAAUUGGAGUAACUGUCACCAAAUGGAAUUUCGCUGCCACUGACAGUUCAAAUGAUCCAUGCAUGUCACGUACUUAGUUCGGCGUUGUAAUUUAUGGACCCUCGUAUGCCGGAACAAGUUGUUGCAGAUUUUUGGUGGCUCAUUAAAUGGAACAUACAGAUGAAAACCGCAACCCUUACAUAUUAGAAGAGCUAAACAAUGCCUGCUUAAUUAAGAGAGCGAGGGAGAAGUGCUAUGUGAAGCUUGAAUUUUACUGAACCAUUCAAGGUCGUUUAGAAUAUGAACACGCUUUCUUUUAGGUCAUAAAUGCUUAAGCAAAUGUGAGCAAUAAACCGGUUUUAAGAAUAACAAAAAAAAAAACACAGGGAGAAGCACGAGCGAUAUCGUAAAAAAUCACCACAAAACGAAAAAUUAUGUAAUCCAAUUAUUUACAGGCAAUUAAAACGAUUAUCCGAUAAUACCAAACACAGAUGUUCAAUAAGCGAGGAAGAGGAAGAGGAAAAGAGAGAACAAAGAACUCGAAUGUAGAUUGUGCUGACAUGUGAUGUGAUAACGGAAGUGGCAAUUUAAUCAGUUCAACAACACAAAACACUUGACGGCACUUCAAAAUGUAUUAUCUGAUCUGGAGUAGGAGUAACGAAGAUGAAGCGGUUAAUCGCUCAAGAGAGCGCGGAGAGCAAUCGUUACGAAUCACAUUAAGCGUUAAACCGUUAUGAUGGGAACUGAUUAACAUGAUAAUAAAACUGAGCAAAUUGUAACAGUUGCAAUCAGUCAAGGAUGCGAAAGGGUGCUUUACUGGUUGGAAUUUUCACGAUCUACUUCGCAUUUUGAAUGAGCGCACAUGGAAUAAUAUAAUAACUAAAAGGGGAGGCAGUAAGAGGCAGAAAAUAACGGAGGAAAAAAACAUAAAAAAAUGUAAUGCGAAAAAUAACCAACAAAAAAAAAAAAGCGGGCAAGGACAGCAGUAAUGUUGGCAUGCAACACAUGAAAUAUGAAUUUGAGCACAAACUCUUCUCGUACAUAACCUACAUAAACGUCAUUCGGCUGGCAAGCACGACAAUGAAUGCAAUGAUCCGAAGUCAACGAAUGUCCGCAAAUUGCUGAACAAAUAGUGAUGAGCAUUAUAUACAAACUUACAACAACAGCAAACAGAGUUAUAAAUGAAGCAUAAAGCAAAAAGAAAUGAGAAUAAAAAUCGAAUUACAAACUAAAACAACAAACAACCACCUCAAUUGCAAUUUCAAGUGUCAUUCUUCAUUCUGUAUGCACAGAGAAGGGCGGAAUGGCCAUCGCUGCUGAUGAUAAUGACGUUGACUUUUGAUCAUUAUCUGGCUGGCAGCAGUUGAUAUGCAAUAUUUAUGUGCAUACAUAAGUAUGUGGCUUGACUAUAUACAAUGCGCGGUGCAGUCGGAAGACAGGAGGAUAGAAGCAAUUUCGAAUUUUCAACGGUUAUGCAAUUUUGUGGUUGAUAGCAGCAAUGUGCACAUAUUGAGUUUACCUACAUAUACAUAAACUUAUGUACGAAUAUAAUUAUGUAGGACAAACAUUUUAGCAUGGUAGGGGCGAUGGUGUGCGGGGAACAAUUUUGUUGCAAAGUGUUAAAAAAGAAUAUGAGAGAUUAAUUAUAACUUAUGAUGAGUAAAUGAAACCAGGAUGACAUACAAUA
Molecule: non-coding RNA, 2454 nt
Organism: Bactrocera oleae (olive fruit fly)
Lineage: Eukaryota; Metazoa; Arthropoda; Insecta; Diptera; Tephritidae
Source: RefSeq, a predicted model, not a curated record